AGGACGAACGCUGGCGGCGUGCUUAACACAUGCAAGUCGAGCGGAAAGGCCCUUCGGGGUACUCGAGCGGCGAACGGGUGAGUAACACGUGAGUAACCUGCCCCUAGCUCCGGGAUAGCUCCGGGAAACCGGAAUUAAUACCGGAUGUGAUCACGGCCGACAUCGGCCACGAUGGAAAGGUUUAUCGGCUAGGGAUGGGCUCGCGGCCUAUCAGCUUGUUGGUGGGGUAAUGGCCUACCAAGGCGACGACGGGUA
This 255-nucleotide ribosomal RNA is filed under the name uncultured bacterium. RNAcentral describes it as "partial small subunit ribosomal RNA". It matches the Rfam family "Bacterial small subunit ribosomal RNA", at positions 26 to 285 of the family's 1533-position model. The record is from RNAcentral.